This 1339-nucleotide ribosomal RNA is filed under the name Salmonella enterica. RNAcentral describes it as "partial 23S ribosomal RNA". It matches the Rfam family "Bacterial large subunit ribosomal RNA", at positions 1 to 1269 of the family's 2925-position model. Lineage: Bacteria; Pseudomonadati; Pseudomonadota; Gammaproteobacteria; Enterobacterales; Enterobacteriaceae. RNAcentral also lists the same sequence under 1 other name. The record is from RNAcentral.
GGGUUGUGAGGUUAAGCGACUAAGCGUACACGGUGGAUGCCCUGGCAGUCAGAGGCGAUGAAGGACGUGCUAAUCUGCGAUAAGCGCCGGUAAGGUGAUAUGAACCGUUAUAACCGGCGAUUUCCGAAUGGGGAAACCCAGUGUGAUUCGUCACACUAUCAUUAACUGAAUCCAUAGGUUAAUGAGGCGAACCGGGGGAACUGAAACAUCUAAGUACCCCGAGGAAAAGAAAUCAACCGAGAUUCCCCCAGUAGCGGCGAGCGAACGGGGAGGAGCCCAGAGCCUGAAUCAGCAUGUGUGUUAGUGGAAGCGUCUGGAAAGGCGCGCGAUACAGGGUGACAGCCCCGUACACAAAAGCGCAUGUGCUGUGAGCUCGAUGAGUAGGGCGGGACACGUGGUAUCCUGUCUGAAUAUGGGGGGACCAUCCUCCAAGGCUAAAUACUCCUGACUGACCGAUAGUGAACCAGUACCGUGAGGGAAAGGCGAAAAGAACCCCGGCGAGGGGAGUGAAAAAGAACCUGAAACCGUGUACGUACAAGCAGUGGGAGCCCCACCACUAAGCCAGUGGUGAACUCCACAUACGCAUCCUUUGCUGAGGAUACGGUUAACGGAGCGAAAGCGACGUUCAACCGCAAAAGAAGCAGAGGGGGCUUAGUGGUGGGGUGACUGCGUACCUUUUGUAUAAUGGGUCAGCGACUUAUAUUCUGUAGCAAGGUUAACCGAAUAGGGGAGCCGCAGGGAAACCGAGUCUUAAUUGGGCGUUAAGUUGCAGGGUAUAGACCCGAAACCCGGUGAUCUAGCCAUGGGCAGGUUGAAGGUUGGGUAACACUAACUGGAGGACCGAACCGACUAAUGUUGAAAAAUUAGCGGAUGACCUGUGGCUGGGGGUGAAAGGCCAAUCAAACCGGGAGAUAGCUGGUUCUCCCCGAAAGCUAUUUAGGUAGCGCCUCGUGAAUUCAUCUCCGGGGGUAGAGCACUGUUUCGGCUAGGGGGCCAUCCCGGCUUACCAACCCGAUGCAAACUGCGAAUACCGGAGAAUGUUAUCACGGGAGACACACGGCGGGUGCUAACGUCCGUCGUGAAGAGGGAAACAACCCAGACCGCCAGCUAAGGUCCCAAAGUCAUGGUUAAGUGGGAAACGAUGUGGGAAGGCCCAGACAGCCAGGAUGUUGGCUUAGAAGCAGCCAUCAUUUAAAGAAAGCGUAAUAGCUCACUGGUCGAGUCGGCCUGCGCGGAAGAUGUAACGGGGCUAAACCAUGCACCGAAGCUGCGGCAGCGACGCUGAUGCGUUGUUGGGUAGGGGAGCGUUCUGUAAGCCUGUGAAGGUGUGUCGUGAGGC